This is a non-coding RNA of Pelobates cultripes (western spadefoot toad), 368 nucleotides long. The record is from the annotation of a GenBank genome assembly. NCBI's taxonomy places the organism in Eukaryota, Metazoa, Chordata, Amphibia, Anura, Pelobatidae.
UUUAAAAGGUAUUUCGUAUUGCACCGACCAUUUUGAAAAUCAUUAUAAAAUUUUAUAUCGCUGGUACCUGGCUCCGUUUAGAUUGCACAACAUGAACAAUAUGUAUUCUGACCGGUGUUGGAGAGACUGUGGGGGUGUGGGCAAUAUGGCCCAUAUCUGGUGGUUCUGCCCCAAAUUAACUAAUUAUUGGAAAAUGAUUCAUGAUCUAAUUAUUAAAGUGAACAGAACCAUUAGCAUUUUAACUUCGGAACUAGCCUUAUUUAAAAAACUCCCGGAGUCCGUUAAUAGAUCAGACAAAAUAAUCAUAGACCACAUUCUGAUCGCUGCUACAUCCUGUUUACCUAGACAUUGAAAGUCCCAAAAUGUGC